UACGGAGGGAGCUAGCGUUGUUCGGAAUCACUGGGCGUAAAGGGCGCGUAGGCGGCUUUGUAAGUCGGGGGUGAAAGCCUGUGGCUCAACCACAGAAUUGCCUUCGAUACUGCAUGGCUUGAGACCGGAAGAGGUCAGUGGAACUGCGAGUGUAGAGGUGAAAUUCGUAGAUAUUCGCAAGAACACCAGUGGCGAAGGCGGCUGACUGGUCCGGUUCUGACGCUGAGGCGCGAAAGCGUGGGGAGCAAACAGG
This 253-nucleotide ribosomal RNA is filed under the name uncultured bacterium. Its description in RNAcentral is "partial 16S ribosomal RNA". It matches the Rfam family "Bacterial small subunit ribosomal RNA", at positions 524 to 776 of the family's 1533-position model. The record is from RNAcentral.